Molecule: long non-coding RNA, 1627 nt
Filed under: Setaria viridis
Lineage: Eukaryota; Viridiplantae; Streptophyta; Magnoliopsida; Poales; Poaceae
Description: long non-coding RNA (SVIR_LNC005655)
Source: RNAcentral
UGAACAUAUGCAAAGGCAAAUAAAAUAGUGACUCUGAGGCACAAGCGAUGUCCUCGUCGUCGGGUUGCACAUGAUUGGAAUGAAAAUCCAUUCCGUAAACAAGGUCAUCUUUCUUUGCACUUUUCUUGAUCUUCAUGAUAAUAAACUCCUCCUUUAUUUCUUUCUUCCUUUUCACUUAUUAUUUCUGUUUCUUUUUCUCAAUAAUUUUUCUCUUUCUUUCCUUUCUUUCUUUCUUUUGUUUUUCAUCUUUUUCUCCGAACCUCCUCUGAACACCACACCAUAAAAAUUAGUUUUUAGAUCCUUCCAAAUGCUCUCCACAAUUUUUCUCAUGCGAACCAAGGCAAAGAAGCCCUAGGCCGAUCGGCCUGGCCUCUCCUUUCCUCCCCACUGGCUCUUCUUUCUGGUGACGCUUCCUUAUCUUGUAUCUUUCCUUACUUUUCAUAAAACUCGACCAGAAAUGGAAUAGAUCUGCAUAUAUUGGGUUAUGUUCAAGGAAUAGGUAAUAAAAAUUGGAAAAUUUAUGAUUUGGGUUUAAGAAUUCAGUAGAAAAUAUGAUUGUUCCAGUGAAGCACUCUCAUUACUGAAUAUUGAUGAGGCUAGCAAUCAGAGUAUGAUCAAUGCUCAGAAUUAAAACAAACCAAGAGAGAGUGAUCCUAACUCAAUUCAAAGAGUCAAUUUUUUCUUAUGGUGGUACGAAUAAAUCUUUUUAAGUAUUAGGUAGGAUAAAUAAUAACUCUCAACCUGGUUGAAAGAUCUUGAUUAAUCUUGUUUUUGUAGAGGUUUUAGAUAUUAAAUCACCUCCAAUUGAAGCCUUACUCAUAAAGUAUAAUCAAAACCAAAGUACUAGAUCAUCAUGAAGCAUGUGUAUUGCAUAAACAAACCGAUUACUAAACUCCACAACAAAGAUUUAGAAUUCAAGACAAUGCUCAUGAUCCAAAGUUGCAAAGACAAAAUAAAAGACAAGCAAGCCAAGGUAGACACUAAAAACACUCGCACGAUCCACGAAUUUUAUUCAUGCUUCUUCUCACAAACACACUAAAGUAGUGAUCUAGACCUAAGUCUUCCUAGAAGCUUAAGAAGACUACUACUUUAUCUACUUUUGAUUGAAAUAAAAAUACUAAUUUAGACUCUCACACGACUCAACUCAACUCAACUCGACCAAACUAGAUCCAAAAACUCAUACGAGCGACGAUCCCCCCCGAACGCUUAAAAUCUACGACGUCCUCAUCAUAACCACAUGAAGUACAAAGGGAAAGACACUCGUAAACGCACUAGUGACGCUGCCCACACCGCUUGCAUAUGGGACGGUUGCUGCUUCCUUCGCCUUGAGCUCUAUUCUUCCUCAUGUUGCCACACAUCCCAAAGAGCUUCCUCAUGUUCCUCUGCAAGAACUUGAAGUCAUCCUCCUGACGGUGAUAAUUGUCUUCUACCUUCUGAUACAAAGCUUGCAAGGCUUGCAUGAUGUCGUCGACGGUGUCGAAGAGGUAAUGGAUGUUCUUCUUGCAAGUGGUGCAACAUGUACGAUCAUGCUCCUCCGGUUCUGAUCCGUCGUCUCCUAGAUCCUUUUCUUUGCCCUUGUCUUGAUGGUGGCCAUCUUGCUCCUUACUCUCCUUCUUGUCUUCAUCCC